This 445-nucleotide ribosomal RNA is filed under the name uncultured bacterium. RNAcentral's name for it is "bacterial SSU rRNA". It matches the Rfam family "Bacterial small subunit ribosomal RNA", at positions 354 to 796 of the family's 1533-position model. The record is from RNAcentral.
GUAAGGAAUAUUGGUCAAUGGACGCAAGUCUGAACCAGCCAUGCCGCGUGGAGGAUGAAGGUCCUCUGGAUUGUAAACUUCUUUUCUCUGGGACGAAACCCCCGAUUUCCAUCGGGCCUGACGGUACCAGAGGAAUAAGCACCGGCUAACUCCGUGCCAGCAGCCGCGGUAAUACGGAGGGUGCAAGCGUUAUCCGGAUUCACUGGGUUUAAAGGGUGCGUAGGCGGGUUUGUAAGUCAGUGGUGAAAUCCCCGAGCUUAACUUGGGAACUGCCAUUGAUACUGCAGAUCUUGAAUUUUCUGGAGGUAAGCGGAAUAUGUCAUGUAGCGGUGAAAUGCUUAGAUAUGACAUAGAACACCCAUUGCGAAGGCAGCUUACUACGGGAAUAUUGACGCUGAGGCACGAAAGCGUGGGGAUCAAACAGGAUUAGAAACCCGAGUAGUCC